RNA transcript from Mustela erminea (ermine), 1070 nucleotides. It is a transcript of the gene named mitochondrial ribosomal protein L48, with no coding region annotated. NCBI's taxonomy places the organism in Eukaryota, Metazoa, Chordata, Mammalia, Carnivora, Mustelidae. The transcript has 8 exons. The record is from RefSeq and is a predicted model, not a curated record.
GGCAUGAAUUCAUCAGGAUCUCAGUCCUUGAGGAACUCACAAUCAAAUAUGUGAAAGAGACAGUAACAACUAAUACACAGUAUGGUGGAAGACAUAGCAGAAUCGUGUGCAAAGCUUCGGCACAACACAGAGGUGGCAAUUACUCCGGGACGAACCGCAGUGAAGUUAACACUUAAGCUGUAGCGAGGCGGAGUCUGGACUUUUCUAGCUUCUGAGUUUCAGAAGCUACCGGAACCAAGGUGCUGCGGGAAUUGAGUGACUCUCGGUCUCAUAUUGUUACUGGACACGGUCGAGGCGUUCCGUCAGUGUUUUCAGACGCCCGGGGAUCGCUGCAGGUUGGGCAGGUUUUCAGCUUACAGUUAGCGGCCGCAACAGCAGAUGAUGAACGGAGCUCUGGGAAAGAUGCUGUGUCUGAGGAACGAUAUCAUUUUUAAGCAAGCCUUUUCUCUCUUAAGGAUCAGAACUUCAGGAGAAAAUCCCAUCAGUUCUGCAGGUGGCAUUCUGCUGAGUACCAGUCGGCACUACAAGACAAGGCCUACCCAUGGCAUUGGAAGAUUCAAGCACCUAGUGAAACCACAGGAGCCCAAGAAGAAGAGGGCAAAAGUGGAAGUGAGACCCAUUAAUUUGGGGACAGAUUAUGAAUAUGGGGUUUUAAACAUUCACCUGACUGCAUACGACAUGGCUGUGGUGGAGAGUUAUGCCCAAUAUGUUCACAACCUCUGUAACCAUCUAUCCAUUAAAGUUGAGGAAAGGUAUGAAGGAAGCCUUUGCAUGGGAUAUUCUUGGUUUACGCUAUGCCCACCAAAACCAUGGAGGUGUUGCGGCUACAGGACCAAGGCAGCAAAAUGCUCCCGGACGCAGUUCUCACCACCCAUGAGCGAGUGGUUCAGAUCAGCGGUUUGAGUGCUACAUUUGCAGAGAUUUUCUUGGAAAUAAUCCAAAGCAAUCUUCCCGAAGGAGUGAGAUUAUCAGUGAAGGAGCACACUGAAGAAGACUUCAAGGGAAGGUUCAAAGCUCGGCCAGAGCUGGAAGAACUGUUGGCCAAGUUGAACUAGCUCACUGCAGACUCU